This 418-nucleotide ribosomal RNA is filed under the name uncultured bacterium. RNAcentral's name for it is "bacterial SSU rRNA". It matches the Rfam family "Bacterial small subunit ribosomal RNA", at positions 358 to 773 of the family's 1533-position model. The record is from RNAcentral.
GGAAUAUUGGUCAAUGGGCGCAAGCCUGAACCAGCCAUGCCGCGUGCAGGAAGACGGUCCUAUGGAUUGUAAACUGCUUUUAUACAGGAAGAAACCUCCCUACGUGUAGGGACUUGACGGUACUGGAGGAAUCAGGAUCGGCUAACUCCGCGCCAGAAGCCGCGGUAAUACGGAGGAUCCAAGCGUUAUACGGAAUCAUUGGGUUUAAAGGGUCCGUAGGCGGCCUUAUAAGUCAGUGGUGAAAUCUCCUAGCUCAACUAGGAAACUGCCAUGGAUACUGUAGGGCUUGAAUUUUUGUGAAGUAACUAGAAUAUGUAGUGUAGCGGUGAAAUGCUUAGAUAUUACAUGGAAUACCAAUUGCGAAGGCAGGUUACUAACAAACGAUUGACGCUGAUGGACGAAAGCGUGGGGAGCGAAC